GGAGGCACUUAGGAAUUCUUACAAUUUUAAGCGGAAACAGCAAUUUCCGUACAUGGAUGUACGGAAAAGGUGAUACUGAGCCGGGAUGGCGAAUUAUCACCGGUUGCGUCUUGACUUCUUAUCUAAAAUAAAAAUUGUUAGAACUCCUUAGUGCCGCA
This 158-nucleotide non-coding RNA is filed under the name human gut metagenome. The record is from RNAcentral.